CCCUUAGAUGUUCUGGGCCGCACGCGCGCUACACUGAAGGCAUCAGCGUGUCCUUCCCUUCCCGAGAGGGACGGGUAACCCGCUGAACCGCUUUCGUGGUAGGGAUCGGGGCUUGCAAUUAUUCCCCGUGAACCAGGAAUUCCCAGUAAGCGCGAGUCAUAAGCUCGCGUUGAUUACGUCCCUGCCCUUUGUACACACCGCCCGUCGCUACUACCGAUUGAACGUUUUAGUGAGGUAUUUGGAUCGGAUCGAAGCAGGGUUCGCGCCCUCUUUGUUUCUGAGAAGACUCCCAAACUUGAGCGUUUAGAGGAAGUAAAAGUCGUAACA
This 327-nucleotide ribosomal RNA is filed under the name uncultured eukaryote. RNAcentral's name for it is "partial 18S ribosomal RNA". It matches the Rfam family "Eukaryotic small subunit ribosomal RNA", at positions 1470 to 1796 of the family's 1831-position model. The record is from RNAcentral.